GUUUAGGCCAUGCCUGGCAUCAGUAACUCAGGCUGUUUCCCACACUACAGGCCAGCACUGUGGGCUCUCAGUUUAUUGGGAAAUGGAAAUAAGAGGGAAGGACAAAAGUCCACUGGGAAGCAGACUGGACAGAAAGGAACUCUGAGCAGCUAAACUCUGACUAAUCCCAGGGUAUACCUGCGUUUUCUCUUCACCAGAUUUUUCCUACCAGGAAGAGCAUGUGCUGACCAACAGACAUGAAUUUCAGCCUGGUAGUUACAACAUUCACAGUAUACCCACAUCACUAAGCUGGGAGGCACAUUUUGAGACCCAGAAUCCUGACACCUCCAUGCCUUCAAAAGGUGGAAAUUCACUGAUCUACAAUUCAUCUGAUUUUGCCUUGGUCUUCUUGAAACCUCUUCAAACAAAACAAAACAAAAAAAUAACACUCAAGCUGGAGAAUGGUUCUACUUAUUCAGAAGUGGCCAGCAGAAGAGCUAUAGAGAACAGAGUGAUUCCCAAAUCAGCAAACCCCAUGAGCUUGGAUGAUUCAAACCAAGCUGUCGCCGGGAUCAGCUUCAUUCACUGGCAAGAACCCGCCCAAUAAAUCGCAAGAUAGAACCACUUUAAGUCCUCUCUUUUCUAAAAUAGGAGUGUGUCUCCUACUCAUUUUGUUCAUUUCAAAAGGAUCAAAGACAAGUAAAUUUUUUUAGACUAUGAAUCUGUGGCAAAUGGGUAACUUGAAUAAGAUAAAAUCAUUCUCCAUCAAAGGAAGGUGGAUUGAAGGGGUAACACACUCUCAAACUACCCGCAACAACACCUCCCCCCAACAAAUAAAAUGUAAAUGUGAGAUUUUAAGUAGGUUAAUAACAUAAAACACUCAGAGGAGCCAAGAAGAGACUCUGGCAUCAACAUUAUAGAAGUACUAUGGCUGGCCAGGUGCGGUGGCUCACACCUGUAAUCCUGCACUUUGGGAGGCAGAGGCAGGCAGUUCGUUUGGGCUCAGGAGUUUGAGACCAGCCUGGGCAACAUGGUGAAAACCCAUCUCUACUAAAAAUACAAAAAUUAGCUGGGGGUGGUUGUGCGUGCCUGAGGCUGAGGUAUGAGAAUCUCUUGAACCCGGGAGGUGGAGGCUGCAGUGAGAUGAGAUCAUGCCCCUGCACUCCAGCCUGGGCAACAGGGUGAGAGCCUGUCCCAAAAAACAAACAAACAAAAAACAAAACAAAAAAAGUAACUAUAGCUGCAUACAGUUUAGCUAUUAAACACCUUAUUUGAAAUAAUGUGAGCCGCUAACUAGAAUCAUAUACAUUUUAGAAUUUAGGUCGACCCUAGAGAAAUUUUCCAGGUGAAGAAACUGAAUAUCUGCUCUGGACGCAGAAUCUGAGGGCUGGGCUGGACCAGGAGCCUUGUGCGUGCCUCUAGCAUAGCACAUAGCAUAGAAUGCUCUAGCCUGAGCUCCUGGACUGCAGACCAUAUUCUUUCUCUUUCUAUUCCUAACAGCUAGGAAAGUGUCUGGCGCUUAGUAGGUGUCUAGUAAUUUUUAAUACACCAGUUGGAAGAAGCAAGAGUGUAAAUCCUAGGACAAUAAGAGAAAAAGUUUAGAGGAAAAAUCCUUCUCUGAUCUCUCAGAGCAUGGUAGGGCGAAAUUACCCCAAAAAGCAAAAGUGACCUCAGUGUGGCUUUUUUUAGGUGAACCUCCCAGUCACAGGUAAGUAUUUGCCAGACUGCCCAGAGCGAUCACUUCUGUCAUCGCUAUUAAUAACAUGGCUUGCUUAUUUUGUCUUAUUGGAGUAUUAGAAUGAGUUCACUUGCAAUUAAGUUCCCUGCUUUAAUUACAGCAGAAAUAAAAAAUAGGUAGACAAGUGACUUUCAUUCAAGUAUUUCAGACAUGUUUCACUUUUGAAAUCUGAAGUAUUAAAUAUUAAGCAUCUUGUUUGAAGUUAAAAGUACAGAUUAUCUCAUCACGGAAAAGAUUAAAUUAUAAUGCUAUCUACCUUAUGAUUAAAAUGGCUUGUCAGAUUUUAGUAGCUGUUGAAAGAAUCAUAUCUUUUCUGUAUCUAAAUUGUUUGAUUCUUUUCCCUGAAAAGACAAAAAAUACCGUGAACCCUUAAUUUCAAUAGCACAAAGAAUUGUGCCUUCCAUAUUUAUAAACCAGCCACAGGACAAAGGGAAACAAUAUGGAAUUAAACAUUACAUUCUCUUAAGAAAUAUUUUCUUUCAGGGUUAAAUAAAUAUCUUUAUGCUUUUCCAUUUUCUUUUUGAAACAGAGUAACCCUAUGACAUUUCAAAGUGAAAUAGCUACACACACAAUUUUUAUAGAGAGGCUAGGAUGACUUUUUUUUAGAACAAGUAUAAUUAACCACACACACAGCAUAUUAUUCAUUGUCCUAUGACCUUUUAUUUAAUUUCAUAUUCUGAAAAUGUUUGCUUCUAAAUUUACUCAGGAAAAUGAGGAAAUGUUAUGGUUGCUUUGCUGGCUGUAUAUUACAGUGAAGUAUACCCAGAAUGGUUUUCAAAUGUAGAUGUUAAAAAAUAUCUGUUGUUUGCCUGCUUUGGCAUGUAAAAGUUUUAACAAAAGCAUAGUAAUUUGGAUUUAUCAGAGAGACCCCCCAGCCAAGGUCUUCAAAAAUUCUAAGUAACUAUAAAGUAUGGUGCCCGGUGGGGUCAAGGAGAGGAGCACACCCACUGGAGUACGGGACAAAAGUCAGUGGCUUUGGAUGUCCCUGAAAAGUCUCCUUCCCCCUGCCCUCCCAGCCCCCACUGCUGUCCUUCCUAUUCCAUUGCCUCCAGGGUCCAUGAUGUGGCUGUGUGGCGGGAGUAGAUCAGGGGUUAAACAUAUAUACAUAUAUUUUAAAAGUUGUAAAAUCCCUUCCACUAAAACAAAAACAUAAACAAAAACCCUCUAUUACACAGCAGGUGAAAAGGACCUCCUGUGGUUGAUCUGUGGUUUGGGGGUGGGGGUCAGAGGCACCUAGGAAUAUAUGAAAUGAAAUUUUGGAAUCUCUGCUCUAAUAUGCCUGCCAUUACAAGUUGGGUCACUUUCCUUACUCUAGUGUGAUGCCAUUGCCUAGGCCAGAGCCACUUAUAUGGGAGUGCAGCUUGUGCCCUGUGCCAGGUGCCCAACCAAGAGGGACAUUAGGGAUAAAAAUCCAGCCCUGGCUUCUCUUGCUGCGUCUGGCUCCCUGGUGCAGGGCUGAUUCUGCAGGGAAGAAAGGGCCUCCUUUGUAUUAUGUCUGCCUGAGGGGGAUGUAGUUUUCUUUUUCUUUUUCUUUUUUUUUUUUUUCCGAGACAGAGUCUCUCGCCCAGGCCGCAGUGCAGUGGCACGAUCUCGGCUCACUGCAAGCUCCGCCUCCUGGGUUCACGCCCUUCUCCUGCCUCAGCCUCCCGAGUAGCUGGGACUACAGGCGCCUGCCACCAUGCCUGGCUAGUUUUUUGUAUUUUUAGUAGAGAUGGGGUUUCGCUGUGUUAGCGAGCAUGGUCUCAAUCUCCUGACCUUGUGAUCCGCCUGCCUUGGCCUCCCAAAGUGCUGGAUUUACAGGCGUGAGCCACUGCACCUGGCCUUUCUUUUUUUGGGGGGAGGGGGACAGAGUCUUGCUCUGUCACCUAUGCUGGAGUGCAGUGGCACGAUCUCAGCUCACUGCAACCUCCGCCUCCCAGGUUCAAGCGAUUCUCUUGCCUCAGCCUCCUGAGUAGCUGGGAUUACAGGCACCCGCCACCUCACCCAGCCAACAGGGUUUCACCAUGUUGGCCAGGCUGGUCUGGAACUCCUGACCUCAAGUGAUCUGGCUGCCUCAGCCUCCCAAAGUGCUGGAUUUACAGGCGUGAGCCACUGCACCUGGCCGAAAGCCAAAACAUUUUAAACAAAAUGUGCUCUAUACUUCAAUCUUGACAAAUCCAUAACAUCAUUAAAAACAUUUGUUUUGUUUUGUUUUGUUUUGAGACAGGAGUUUCACUCGUUGCCCAGGCUGGAGUGCAACGGCGCGAUCUCAGCUCACUGCAACCUCCGCCUCCCCAGUUCAAGCGAUUCUCCUGCCUCAGCCUCCUGAGUCACUGGAAUUACGGGCGCCUGACACCACGCCCAGCUAAUUUUUUGUAUUUUUAGUAGACAUGGGGUUUCACUAUGUUGGCCAGGCUGGUCUCGAACUCCUGACCUCAUGAUCCUCCUGCCUCAGCCUCCCAAAGCACUGGGAUUACAGGUGUGAGCCACUGUGCCUGGUCCAUUAAAAACAUUUGUAAAGCUAUGGUGUUGAUAAAGUAUUAUGAAAGACUGCAAAAAAAGAUGGCUAAUUUUUAGUUAUUAUUGCACAUGUUUAGAGGAGCUAAUGACAUUUUCUAUGAUUAAUAAAAGACAUUAUUUAUGUUUUUAUUUAUGUAUUCCACAACAUUUAUUUUAUUUUCUCCAUUUCAGGAAAACCACUAUGUUGUUACAAUAAAGAUUUUCAUGUAAUUUGUGUUCAAUUGAUAGUAAUAAUGUAACAAGUUAAAAAUGAAGGUAAUUGUGUUUAAAAUUUGAGCAUAUUUUCAUCAAAAUGUAAGUUAAAGUGAUUGUAAAUUUUAAGAUCAUAAUUACUUUGUAUAUCUUCAAGAAAAUUAUUGUUUUAAAAUAUUUAUGCCUAUUAAAAUUAGAAGGCAAAAUAAAAAUAUAUGAAUACCAACAUUUUAAAUAAAAAUCAUUUAAAUAAAGCUGAACUUUUUUUUUUUUUUAAGAGGUCUCACUGUAUUGCCCAGGCUGAUCUUGAAGUCCUUG
Molecule: long non-coding RNA, 4726 nt
Filed under: Homo sapiens (human)
Lineage: Eukaryota; Metazoa; Chordata; Mammalia; Primates; Hominidae
Description: HSALNT0301349
Source: RNAcentral